CAGUAGCCGCGGUAAUACGAGGGGGGCAAGCGUUGUUCGGAAUUAUUGGGCGUAAAGGGUGCGUAGGCGGCUUGACAAGUCUUGUGUGAAAUCUAUGGGCUCAACCCAUAGUCUGCACGGGAAACUGUCGGGCUUGAGAAUGGGAGAGGUGAGUGGAAUUUCCGGUGUAGCGGUGAAAUGCGUAGAUAUCGGAAGGAACACCUGUGGCGAAAGCGGCUCACUGGACCAUUUCUGACGCUGAUGCACGAAAGCUAGGGGAGCAAACAGGAUUAGAUACCCGAGUAGUCCCUGUCUCUUAUAC
Molecule: ribosomal RNA, 301 nt
Filed under: uncultured bacterium
Lineage: Bacteria
Description: partial 16S ribosomal RNA
Rfam family: Bacterial small subunit ribosomal RNA
Source: RNAcentral